RNAcentral lists this ribosomal RNA (490 nucleotides) under uncultured bacterium. RNAcentral describes it as "partial 16S ribosomal RNA". It matches the Rfam family "Bacterial small subunit ribosomal RNA", at positions 28 to 507 of the family's 1533-position model. The record is from RNAcentral.
GAUGAACGCUAGCUACAGGCUUAACACAUGCAAGUCGCGGGGCAGCAUGGGGGUUGCUUGCGAUCCCCGAUGGCGACCGGCGCACGGGUGAGUAACGCGUAUCCAACCUGCCCUUCACCACGGGAUAACCCGGCGAAAGUCGGACUAAUACCGUAUGUUGUCCAUUGACGGCAUCCGAUUUGGACGAACGGUUUGGCGGUGAAGGAUGGGGAUGCGUCCGAUUAGCUGGACGGCGGGGUGACGGCCCACCGUGGCGACGAUCGGUAGGGGUUCUGAGAGGAAGGUCCCCCACACUAGAACUGAGACACGGCCCAGACUCCUACGGGAGGCAGCAGUGAGGAAUAUUGGUCAAUGGGCGUAAGCCUGAACCAGCCAAGUAGCGUGCAGGAUGACGGCCCUAUGGGUUGUAAACUGCUUUUAUGCGGGGAUAAAGUGGCCCACGUGUGGGUUUUUGCAGGUACCGCAUGAAUAAGGACCGGCUAAUUCCGUG